RNAcentral lists this ribosomal RNA (253 nucleotides) under uncultured bacterium. RNAcentral describes it as "partial 16S ribosomal RNA". It matches the Rfam family "Bacterial small subunit ribosomal RNA", at positions 524 to 776 of the family's 1533-position model. The record is from RNAcentral.
UACGAACCGUCCAAACGUUAUUAGGAAUUACUGGGCUUAAAGGGUUUGUAGGCGGCGCUGUUAGUCGGGUGUGAAAUCCCUCGGCUUAACCGGGGAACUGCGUCUGAUACUGGAUGGCUUGAAUCCGGGAGAGGGAUGCGGAAUUCCAGGUGUAGCGGUGAAAUGCGUAGAUAUCUGGAGGAACACCGGUGGCGAAGGCGGCAUCCUGGACCGGCAUUGACGCUGAGGAGCGAAAGCCAGGGGAGCAAACGGG